CUGUAUAUUCAUGUUCUCAUCACCUGGUUCUGAAGCAUUUUUGCAUUGACAUGAUGUUUUGUUUGCACAAAAUAUAUAUUAUACUCAAUUGAACACCAAUGUUGUAUCUAAACCAACUCAAAAUGCGUUCGUAGAAAUAAGACUGGAUAGUUUGUUUAGGUGCCGCUAAAAGCUACAGCUUCAAGUUUAUAUUGCCUUCUAUUUAUAGUACAACAUAGCUA
RNAcentral lists this long non-coding RNA (221 nucleotides) under Sorghum bicolor (sorghum). RNAcentral describes it as "long non-coding RNA (SBIC_LNC009986)". The record is from RNAcentral. Lineage: Eukaryota; Viridiplantae; Streptophyta; Magnoliopsida; Poales; Poaceae.